This 272-nucleotide ribosomal RNA is filed under the name uncultured Thermovirga sp. RNAcentral describes it as "partial 16S ribosomal RNA". It matches the Rfam family "Bacterial small subunit ribosomal RNA", at positions 1112 to 1382 of the family's 1533-position model. The record is from RNAcentral. Lineage: Bacteria; Thermotogati; Synergistota; Synergistia; Synergistales; Thermovirgaceae.
CAGUUGCCAUCGGUAAGGCCGGGCACUCUGGAUGGACUGCCGGCGACAAGCCGGAGGAAGUGGGGAUGACGUCAAGUCAUCAUGGCCCUUAUGUCCAGGGCGACACACGUGCUACAAUGGCCGGCACAACGGGAAGCGAAGGGGCGACCCUGAGCGGAUCCCCAUAAAAGCCGGUCCCAGUUCGGAUUGCAGUCUGCAACUCGACUGCAUGAAGUUGGAAUCGCUAGUAAUCGUGGAUCAGCCAAGCCGCGGUGAAUACGUUCCCGGGCCUU